Nomascus leucogenys (northern white-cheeked gibbon) is the source of this 7341-nucleotide RNA transcript. It is a transcript of the gene named myelin associated oligodendrocyte basic protein, with no coding region annotated. Lineage: Eukaryota; Metazoa; Chordata; Mammalia; Primates; Hylobatidae. The record is from RefSeq and is a predicted model, not a curated record. The transcript has 9 exons.
AAAAACACCUUGUGUAAUGAAAAACCCAGAUCUAUAACCUCUCCCUAUAUAUUCUGCAUGCAUUGAAGUAGGCUCAAACCCUCAGGGACCUGGUAUAGACGCAGAAUCUGUUUCACACAACAACUGCUAUUUGAAGGAAAAAAAAAAAAGAAGCAAAUGAUACCAAGACAAGCUCAUAACAGAGAUCCAAUCAGCAGAUGUGUACGGAUGAAAAUACAGUGAGAUGAGUCAGAAAACGGCCAAGGAGGGUCCCAGACUCUCCAAAAACCAGAAGUACUCCGAGCACUUCAGCAUACACUGCUGCCCGCCGUUCACCUUCCUCAAUUCCAAGAAGGAGAUAGUGGAUCGGAAAUACAGCAUCUGUAAGAGCGGCUGCUUCUACCAGAAGAAAGAGGAGGACUGGAUCUGCUGCGCCUGCCAGAAGACCAGAACCAGCCGCCGUGCCAAGUCCCCUCAGAGGCCCAAGCAACAGCCAGCUGCGCCCCCCGCGGUGGUCAAAGCGCCAGCCAAGCCACGGUCCCCUCCGAGGUCUGAGCGUCAGCCACGGUCCCCUCCGAGGUCUGAGCGUCAGCCACGGUCCCCUCCGAGGUCUGAGCGUCAGCCACGGUCCCCUCCGAGGUCUGAGCGUCAGCCACGUCCCCGCCCAGAGGUCCGACCACCGCCAGCCAAGCAGCGUCCCCCUCAGAAGUCCAAGCAACAGCCGCGCAGCAGCCCCCUCAGAGGGCCAGGCGCCAGCCGUGGGGGGUCCCCCGUCAAAGCUUCUAGGUUCUGGUAACACCAUCUCUUCCCUUUUGUUCCCCAGCCCUAAGAUUGAAAAGGAAGAUCAGGCCGACCCCAAAGAAGAAGUGACCAAGGAGGAGUUUAAAGUGAAUGAACGGCCUCGGCUCCUGGACUCAUUGCUUCACAACCCAUCUACCCCUGGAUGAAAUUAUCUGGCUUCAAAUAUUAUGCAGGGGCAAACACCUGCUGAUGCGGCAACUGCUGAUGCUCAUGGUCCCCAUGGCAUGGGGGCCUCAGGGCAGCCUGCCCGGAGGCAACAGUUUACCUACCAUCAAGUUCAGUGCUUUGACUUUGAUCAGCUGACUGGGUUUAUCCAAAGUACAGCACUUUGAAGAUGUCAUCCCAUUGUCUUCUGACCUCUAUAAUUGCCACUGAGAGAUCUGCUGUCAGUCUGCUUAUCCUUCCCUGGACUCAAGUUUCUUCAAUCUGAAGAUACAUGUCUUUCUCCAGGGACAUGUGAAAAAAAAAAGAUGUUACACAACCACCAAAGUGGCAAAAAUAAAAAAAAAAUCAAGUAUUGGCAAAGAUAUGGGGAAAAUUCUCAUAAGCUACUGAUGAGAUUUAUAAAUUAUUAUAACACCUUUGGGUUGCAAUCUGGGGAUACUAGCAAAGCAGAAAAUUGUAUAACCUGUGAUCAAGCAAUUAUAAUUUUAGGCACCCAUCCUAGAGAAAACUUGAAUUCAUAGAAAAAGUAGGUACACGUAAAUCUGUUCAAUGAAUCAUUGUUUGGCAUUGAAAAUGGGAGAGAGAUACAGAGAAAUUACCAAAAUGUCCACCAAUAGAAUGAGUGAAUCACCUGUGGUAUAUUUAUAGAUAAAAAUCUUAAAUAGAAGGUAAAACAAAUCAGAUAUACACACAUUAGAUAGAUAAAUUUAGAGGACAAAAUAAGGAACAUAAAAAGCAAACAGUAGAUGGCAAAUGUAAUAUAAUAUACUAUGCAUAAAUUUUAACAACACACAAUAUUAUAUUGCAUAUUGCCCAAUAAGCAGAAGCCAUAAGGUCUCACACUUUUCUUAUAAUGCAAUAGAAUAAAAAUGACAACAAAGUAAAAGAGUAUCCCCAAAACAAAACUAUCCUUUUGGAAAAAAAAAAAGACUUAAAAUAAUUCCUGGUUUGAAGAAAUAACAGAAAUUAAAAGCUAUAUAUAAAUGGUUAACAAUAUUAGGUGGACAUAUUUGUUUGAAGAGAUAGGUGAAAGAUAGUUGAAAAGCCUGGGGGUAUCUUCAAGGUUAUAUGUCUUAGGAAACAAAAAUACUUGCUUGGGUUCAAUUUUGGAUCUGGGCUUGUUCUUGUGGCUUCUGAUGAUUUCUGACUUGGGGAAAAAUGGGGAAGAGUUGAAAUACAUCCUUCCACCCAAACCUUCAUUUAGUAAUAGGUAGGAAAAUUAAGAAGAAAACAGAAUGUUGCAGAAUGUGGAGGGAUGUAAAAUGGACAGUACUAGGGUAGAGGGAAAGUCAGAUUAGAGGAAAGAAAGAGCAUCAGCAACAGUCUUGUGCUAGGAGCUGGUGUGGCCAAGCACAGUCAGAUGCCCAAAGAUCCAACAAGGCCAUGGCUCUGUGUCCUUGAGUGGGCACAACCAUUCCUAGCCAAGUUUAAGAGGCAAGUAAAAAUAUGGGGGCAAUGUCAGAUGAAGUCUUGUUCAGGGUAUGGGGCUAGGAUGAGAGAGAAUGCCACAGAGUAGGGAGGAAGAGUGAAGGAUCCAGAUGAGAUACAGCUCAGAGUGUCAUGCCCCCAGGAAAAGGAAUCAGGCAAGUACUGUCCCAAGGCAGCUGGAGGGUGAGGGCUGAGUGCCCUGGCUUCCUCACUUGGGGAGACCAUGGGUCUCUGUAGAAAUUCCAAUAAAAAGGCAGGGAAAUUUGACUGCAUGGAAUCUUCAGGUAGAAAUGUUUCUCUUGCCUAAAUUCAGGUGCUAAAUAAACAACAAAAUGGUAACCUCUACUAUGAAGCAUUUCCAACGAUGGGAUAUCUGAGGCCAUUACAUUCCCGGGAAUAACAUGGUGAGGUGCAGGAUGGUGGUGGUGGUGAAACAUAUGACAGACCACUGUAAGUGAGAACAAAUUACUGGCCCAGCCCAACCCACACCAAAUAAGAAAUUUAAUAUCCCUUUGGCCUGUUUUAGAUUUUGGCAAAGCCAGGCCCAUAGUGCUUGCUGGGCUCUCUCUUCCACAUCAUCCAGAAGACACACAUUUGCUAUGGAAUGAUUGUGGAGAUGGAGGCUGGGGCUUCCUUCCUUUCAGAUAUUGGUGCUAACUUGAUGCUGACCAAAGAAUUGAUGGGAUCUGCACACUGUAAAGCCGGUUUCAGGAUGGCUGAGCUGACGGUCAAGAAAGAAGAGAAGAUAUGAGCCGCCUGCAUUUUGGGGUGGUGGCACUGAAAUUUAGACUUGUGAUUUGGUAUGACAAUGUAUGGCUUUUUGUGAUUGUUAACAUUAAUGAAAACAAGAAAAAUUAGUUGCUCAAAGGUUGAAAAAUGGAUUUAUAAACUUUUUAUUAGAGUAAGGCAAAAGAACAUAUUAAAAUAGAGGUAAAUUAGAAAUGUCAAUAAGAACCCAUGGACAUUUUUUAUAAGGAGACUUUAUCUGUUCUGUCCCUACAGUGAUUUAUGCUUUUGGAUAUUUUUGCUGUCAUCCUGACAAAUUCUAGUUGGAAUGUGGAACAAGCUUAUUUGUAGACCUAGUGCCUGUGGCUUCUAAAGCAAUUUUCUGAAAAGAGAAACCACUGCCCGUUGGAAGAAUAGUUGAUUCCAUACCUCAAGCUAGGGAAAAAAAAAUCAGAAUUUGUCUGUGAAUUCUAGAUGUUGAGAGAAAGCAAGCUUUUAUUAGGGCAUCAGAGAGUCAUAAGUCCAUAGGAUGCAAAAAAGAAGAUGAAAUAAAAUUGCCUGAAAAACGCACCUGAAUUUCCGACAUUGUUUACUGAAAAGGCUGUGUAUUGAUGAACCCCAAUUAUGUGAGGUCUACAUUUAAGACUUUAUAAUCAACAGUUUGAAAAUGCAGGGUGUUGUUUCUUUCUAUAGGAGGCAAAACAGUCAGAAGGGAGUGUCACAGGACAUUAUCACAAUAUCAGAGUUCUCCAUGAAAUGUGGUUUAUUUGCUAGAAAAUAAUGCAAGCCUAUUGGAGAGAAUCAGGGCUUCUAGUGAUGCUAGGGAUGACCUUAAGCAUUAUUUGUAAAUCACACCUUUUCCUUAGUCUUUCAGCAGCAGCUGCACAGAGUAGGCCUGCUUCUUCCCAUGAAAGCCACACUGAGUUUUAUCAACUAGUAGUGUGUGGGCACUAUUGCAAGUUAUGUUGUGUUGUUUAUGGCCAUUUAUCCAACAGUGCUUUCCUCUGUGCAGGGCUCUGCAGCCUCAUUCUAUGUUAUUUUUAUUACCACGUGUCUGUGCGCCUCAGGUGGCAAAGCAGAAUCAGCUUCUCUACCCUCAGCAGGGCUCACUAUGACUCACUGUAAGGGAAGAAAAUCUUACAGAUGUCAGAAAAUGUUAGGUAAGUGGACAGUGAUAAACACAAAACAUCAAGUGGUCAAUAUCAAAGAGAAAAACAGUAUGUUGGUAAAGGAGAAGUAUCAAAGCUAGUUAAAAAAGUAAUAGGAGAAAUAUAAAGUAAAGGGACAAUACUCCACAAAAAUUUAGAUUGUAACUGAGCUUCUUCUCCUAAAGAGAUUUAAAAAUAAAGUAUAGGAAAUACGUGAAGAAACAAAGUAAAAUGCCGAGGUGGAAGUUUGACCAUGAAUAUCUAAGGAAAAACAAACUUGCACUAAAACAACCAAAUAUGCAAAAAUCAAGUGGAAAAACAGGUCAAAAUAAUGCCAGUUGAUGUCUGUAAGAACUAAAUGUAUAAUAAAAUAAGCGAAGAAAAUGGCCAGUUUAACACCAAUUGGUGCCCAUAAUAACAUGUUUAUUUGCAAAGUCUGUAUUUUACACACACACUAUGGUUUAUACAAAAUUUGAAGGCAACCAACUAACAACAGGUCUGUCAUCAACACAGGUUAGCACAGCACUGAACAUGUGCAACUAGGAGGUCAAAUCACUUUCCCCGAAGGAGGUGGCAGGAGGAGCCUGGUGUUAGCAAGAAGUGAGCAGCACUGUGGGAUGGUCCAGAGGACAGCGUGAUGGAGGUGGGAACUGGGUGAGAUCAAGCCAGGAACCCAGGAAGCUGGGCUUUGGUGUUGUAUGCAUGCAAAUCCUGAAUGGGUGUGUGAGAGAUCAGAGCCCUGCCAUGGUCAGUGUUGCCUCGCUGAGUCACUUCCCUCUUCUCUCCCAUGUCACUGUGACAACACACCCUGGGGCUUAUGAGCUAAAAUGGGUUCGCAGCAAUCAAGACAGCUUCCUUCUCCAAACAAACUGCUCUCCUUGCUCAUAAUAUCUAUGAAGAAAAGAUGAGACCCUUGGAGAGAGGGUGAAAAGGGAGGCUGUCAGCAUAGGAGCAUCUGUCCUUUACUAGCUCUUUAAAUAACUGCAGGUAGCUUGUGGGGAUUUGGGACAUUCUGCUCUGGACACCAUUGAAAACCUAUUGCCUGGAUGUAUGUAAAAAAUCCUGGAUGUAUGUAAAAAAAUCCAGAAGGUUCUAUCUUUAGAUCUUCAGUAAACAGGAGUGACAGGGGCCUGGAUGAGACAAGAGACUUGUCUUGCCUUUGCAGACAGUGAAUGUCAGCUUGAGGAGAAGAAAAGGGGGACUUCAAUGAUAAUUACUGGGGUGGGUUGGUUUGUUGGCCUCGUUGUGAAUGCCUGAAAACAACUUAGGGGUAUUUUGAGGAGUACAAAUUCCUCUCUUCACAGGUUGGGGACUUGAAGUCAAUUUCUAUAGUCACAGGCAGGUGAGUUCAUAGUCAAACUCAUGUUCCAUAUACAAUUCACUCAUUCCUGCCACUCACUCUUCUAUCUCCCUGGUUUGCUUCCUUACUCAGAUGUCAAGGAUUUCUAUCAUGUAGCUUUUUGAUGCUGCUUUACUUCUUCCUGUCUCUUGCUAUCACUAUCUGAACCUUAUGGCACCCAUAAGGUUCCUGGGGACAUAAGGUGUCUCUGGGGACAAGGUGAUAAUGCUGAGGAAAUGGGAGACAAGAACUCAGGGGAGCAGUCCCUAAAGCACAACAGUUCUGACAGUGGCCCAACUGGAUGGAGCAUACACUUGUUCACAGACUCCUAAAGGUGCUUGACUGCACCAGAACACACUCACCAAGCAAUGGACAUUGUUAAGUGUUCAGGCACAACCACCAAUGCUUCCAAUUGUUGUUGUAGAAAAAACUGAAUUGUUCUCAUCCAGUCACUUACCCAUCAUCACAGAUCCUUAAAUACCAUUUUCCCACUUCCAUUGACAUGUGUUAAAGAUUUACUUUGUUAUGCCCUGUUAGGUAUUUUAUAAGAUAACAUGCUAUCGUAUUUACCUAUAAUGCAAUAGUAGCUUACAGAUGAGAAAAAAAUAAGGUUUAGAGACCUACCUAAAAGUGACAUAGCUGAUAUUCAGAGCACUUGAGAUUCUGAUACCUAUGCAAACUCUACUUCUCAUCCCUCAUUUCCUAGUAAAUCUCGAAUUGAAACUGCCUGGUGUUCCCCUGCAGGGCUGGCAGGUCUUGAGGCGCCCUCCUUAACGGAUGAGUGGCUCCUGCUGUUGCUGCCCUCUCCCCUGUGUGAGUGGCCAGGAUGCUUCUAUGUGUUGUCUGGCCAGUGCUGGCCACUUGCUGAGCCACAGAGGCUUGCAGGGAAAGUGGCAUAAUGCAGCUACUCCACACUUGGACCCUUCAAAUCCAGGCAGAACAAGACCAAAUGUCAUAGGCCACAGCUUCAGAUGGAAUCUCUGAAUUGAGCAAAACGCUGGUUCUCAACCUUUUCUGGUCAGGUUCCAGUUUGUGCUGGAUCCUGAUUCCCCCCAGAUUUACUCCAUCAUCCUUCUCAUUCAGCUUAAUAAGAUGCGGUCACCAUUUACUGAGUGUUUAUACUAUGUGCCAGACACUGAAGCCCUUCAGAUGUUUAAUUUUUACAAGAACAUUUUGAGAUAUAUGGCUUUAUUAUCCAAAUUUUGUAGAAGAAAUAAAUCAGCUCCAAGCCAUUAAUAAGUGGCCCAAGAUUUCAAAAUUGGUAUGAAAUGUGGCAGGGAUUUGAACCAGUAGCCCAAGUCACUGGCUUUCUUGACUUGCGUAUUGACCUGCCAUCCCCUGGGGUUCUUGAUUUUGCCACCUUGUCUGACUCCAGACAUUGACCACACCUCUUCUUCCUUGUUUCAACUUAAUGACUCACAGGCAAUGUGGGUUCCUCAAUUUCCAGCUACAGUUUUGUGUUUUUUGAACUGAUGAUAUCAUUCAGCCAGACAUUUCCUGACUUGGAAGUUUCCUGAUCCCAUUGGCAACACCACACAAAUGUUCUGGGCUUAAUCCUUUGGAAAAUAAAUGGACUCCUUGUUCCUGCUGAGACCUACUCCUAUGUUGAAAACCAGGGCUAACUAAUUUCUAAAGCCAGGCAGGGCCUAAAUUGCUAUUUUUUGGGUCAGUGUCUAUCUAUACUAUUUCCUACCUGUUAAAAGACCUGUAGAAAUCCAACUAUAUAAAAUAUAGGUUUAUUGUUCUUUGUGUCAA